CGCUGGCGGCGUGCUUAACACAUGCAAGUCGCGUGCGCGGUUCCGUAGCAAUACGGGAUGGGCGCACGGCGCACGGGUGCGUAACACGUGGGCAAUCUGCCCUCCGAUGGGGAAUAACCCCGCGAAAGCGGGGCUAAUACCGCAUAACAUUCCUUGGACUAUGGUUUGAGGACUCAAAGCAGCAAUGCGUCGGAGGAGGAGCCCGCGCCCGAUUAGCUAGUUGGUGAGGUAACGGCUCACCAAGGCAAUGAUCGGUAGCUGGUCUGAGAGGAUGGCCAGCCACACUGGAACUGAGACACGGUCCAGACUCCUACGGGAGGCAGCAGUGGGGAAUCUUGCGCAAUGGGCGAAAGCCUGACGCAGCGACGCCGCGUGGGGGAUGAAGCUUCUCGGAGUGUAAACCCCUUUCGACUGGGACGAAUGCCCGCAAGGGAGUGACGGUACCAGUAGAAGAAGCCCCGGCUAACUACGUGCCAGCAGCCGCGGUAAGACGUAUGGGGCCAGCGUUGUUCGGAAUUACUGGGUGUAAAGGGUUCGUAUGCGGUGUGGCAAGUCGGGAGUGAAAUCUCUGGGCUUAACUCAGAGGCUGCUUCCGAAACUGCUGUGCUU
This 609-nucleotide ribosomal RNA is filed under the name uncultured bacterium. RNAcentral describes it as "bacterial SSU rRNA". It matches the Rfam family "Bacterial small subunit ribosomal RNA", at positions 34 to 643 of the family's 1533-position model. The record is from RNAcentral.